Molecule: unclassified non-coding RNA, 211 nt
Filed under: soil metagenome
Description: partial contains 5.8S ribosomal RNA, internal transcribed spacer 2, and large subunit ribosomal RNA
Source: RNAcentral
AACCUAGCACACCUGCGGUGUGUACCUGCGGAGGGAUCAUUACCGAGUGUGGUCCCAUAUAAGGGGCGCCUCCCGUCCUUUGCAGGGCCUUUAGGGGCUUUUUGACUUUGCUUCGGCGGGCUCGCCCCGCCGGAACACCCUCAAGAAAAUCUUUAUGAACCGUUUGUCUGAGUUGCUUGCGAAUAAAAACAAAACUUUCAGCAAUGGAUCU